RNAcentral lists this ribosomal RNA (413 nucleotides) under Salmonella enterica subsp. enterica serovar Potsdam. RNAcentral describes it as "bacterial SSU rRNA". It matches the Rfam family "Bacterial small subunit ribosomal RNA", at positions 38 to 447 of the family's 1533-position model. The record is from RNAcentral. Lineage: Bacteria; Pseudomonadati; Pseudomonadota; Gammaproteobacteria; Enterobacterales; Enterobacteriaceae.
GGCGGCAGGCCUAACACAUGCAAGUCGAACGGUAACAGGAAGCAGCUUGCUGCUUUGCUGACGAGUGGCGGACGGGUGAGUAAUGUCUGGGAAACUGCCUGAUGGAGGGGGAUAACUACUGGAAACGGUGGCUAAUACCGCAUAACGUCGCAAGACCAAAGAGGGGGACCUUCGGGCCUCUUGCCAUCAGAUGUGCCCAGAUGGGAUUAGCUUGUUGGUGAGGUAACGGCUCACCAAGGCGACGAUCCCUAGCUGGUCUGAGAGGAUGACCAGCCACACUGGAACUGAGACACGGUCCAGACUCCUACGGGAGGCAGCAGUGGGGAAUAUUGCACAAUGGGCGCAAGCCUGAUGCAGCCAUGCCGCGUGUAUGAAGAAGGCCUUCGGGUUGUAAAGUACUUUCAGCGGGGAGG